AUGCUCCCGUCCUUGCAAGAACUAACCAUGAGCAGAGUCCGUGACAUGAACGUGCUGACGCUCAACUCCAAGUCUCUAGUAUCUAUUGAUCUGUCCUAUCUCAUGGGGCUUCAGCAUCUCCACAUCACGGCUCCAGGGCUCCAUCAGCUAGAGGUGGUACGCUGCUUCUAUGAUUCUCUCAAACCAGUUGCCAGCAUUACUGCAGAGAGAUUAGAGGUACUCAGGUGGAAUAUGCCGGAUGAUCUAGAGUCUGUCCACCUCGGAGAGAUGCCAUGCCUCCAGACGCUCGGAGCACCUCCUAUCGACACACAUCGUUGGCGAGGUUUUCAGAUGGCUCAGAUAUGUGCAGGGUUUCUUGGUCGCUUUACAGCAGUUCACCACCUUGAGCUUGAGAUGACUCUUGGUCCGAGGAUGGAUAGCUCGUUGCUCCUGAUGGAAGACAUAGUCAUCCCUAAUGUGGAUAUCUUGGGGUUAUCCUUAGAAACAAAUGAGCAUGCUUUUGCAAGAAGUGUACUGUGGUUGCUCACAAAGUGUCAUGGUAUAAGAGAGCUGCGCCUAUCAUUCCAAAUCCGAGAUGAGGUCCGAAGUUACUUUCGCCAAACUGCAUUUGCCACACUGAGCCAGGAGCUGAGGGCGUUCUGA
Molecule: ribosomal RNA, 642 nt
Filed under: Triticum aestivum (bread wheat)
Lineage: Eukaryota; Viridiplantae; Streptophyta; Magnoliopsida; Poales; Poaceae
Description: partial small subunit ribosomal RNA
Source: RNAcentral